Molecule: ribosomal RNA, 448 nt
Filed under: uncultured bacterium
Lineage: Bacteria
Description: bacterial SSU rRNA
Rfam family: Bacterial small subunit ribosomal RNA
Source: RNAcentral
GGCCAGACUCCUACGGGAGGCAGCAGUGGGGAAUAUUGGGCAAUGGGCGAAAGCCUGACCCAGCAACGCCGCGUGAAGGAAGAAGGCUUUCGGGUUGUAAACUUCUUUUGACAGGGAAGAGCAGAAGACGGUACCUGUCGAAUAAGCCACGGCUAACUACGUGCCAGCAGCCGCGGUAAUACGUAUGGUGCAAGCGUUAUCCGGAUUUACUGGGUGUAAAGGGAGCGCAGGCGGCGCGUUAAGCCUGGUGUGAAAGCCCGCGGCCCAACCGCGGGACUGCAUUGGGAACUGGCGCGCUGGAGUGCCGGAGGGGUAGGCGGAAUUCCUAGUGUAGCGGUGAAAUGCGUAGAUAUUAGGAGGAACACCAGUGGCGAAGGCGGCCUGCUGGACGAUGACUGACGUUGAGGCUCGAAAGCGUGGGGAGCAAACAGGAUUAGAUACCCUCGUA